Molecule: long non-coding RNA, 21486 nt
Filed under: Gossypium barbadense (sea-island cotton)
Lineage: Eukaryota; Viridiplantae; Streptophyta; Magnoliopsida; Malvales; Malvaceae
Description: long non-coding RNA (GBAR_LNC012040)
Source: RNAcentral
CUACGAGUUCCGCCGACGAGAGAUCCAAUAUAUGGUGAAGAAUAUCCAUGGGAAAAUCGGGUCACCCAUUAACCUCAGUGAACAAAUAUUCUUAACAGCGUUCAACGUUACAAUUAACAUGCUAUGGGGUGGUUCGCUGAACGGAGAAGAAUCGAACCUUGGGCUUGAAUUUAGGGAUCAAUUCAAGGAAUUUGUGAAAUUGAUGGUAGAACCCAACAUUUCUGAUAUGUUCCCGAUGCUUAGGCCAUUCGAUUUACAAGGAAUUGAAUCCAAGGCCAAAAAGCAUAUUUCAUGGUUAUAUGGGUUUUUCGAAUUGGUGAUAGAGCAACGAAAGCUCGGAGAGGGACCAAACAUGGCUGAUAGUAAGGAUUUUUUGCAGCAAUUGUUGGAGCUGAACCGAACAGGAGAUGUCAAAACUUCAUUAUCCAUGAAGGAAAUAAACGCUAUGCUGCUGGUAAGCAUACACACUAAAUUUGAAAUCCGGGAUUCUAAAAAUAAAACUACAUUACUGAACUUCAAAAUUUACAAAAACUAUAAAGGAUUAUUACGUAUUUUAACGUUAUAUAUAUAUAGAUAAAAUUUUACUUUGAUAUGUAGAGAUAUUGGAUUGAUAAAAAAUUUUAUGUGCAUGAGAAGUGCAAAUAUAUUGAUAAAUUCACCUGUUGAACUUUUAAAAUAUUUAUCAUAAGAAGUUACCGAAGGGUUCAACACCACUUAAGUUUUACAUUUGAUAUAUAUACACAUAUGGGGAGGGAUCCACCUACACCGGUAUACACUUAAAGUUUUUAUAUGAUUAAUAUUUUAACCGUCUAACUGUUUUUCAUGUUCCAUUUAUAUAAAUCAUUCAUGUUAAAUUUGAAAUAAAUUAAAAUUUUCUAACUAUUUAUUAUGUAUAAAAAAACUUUAAACCAUUCAAUAAGUAUUAAUAUAGACACCUUUUUAGAUCGAUAUAAUAGAGAUAUCGAAUUAAUUUGAAAUUUACAUGAAUGAUAAGUACGAUUAUAUCAAUAAAUUCAACAGUUGAUUUGUUCAAAUAUUAAACGUAUAAAUAUAUACGGAAAUGUGUAAAUUACUCCAGUUCCACAUCGAUGUAAGUUGAUCCCUUCCCAUACAUAUAAAUAUAUAUGUAUAUAUAUAGGUAUGGUUUAAAAAAAGCACAUAGCAAUCCAUGAAAUUGGUUGGUAUAGUUAUAAACGAUAUGAUUUAGGAGAUUUAUGGUAUCUUCUGUAAGGUGUGUAAUGAAACUUAAAAAAUUAGUCGAUUUUUCAAAAAUAAAUAUUAGUAACCGAGCUAAUUUAAAGAUAAAGUUUUAAUAAUCCAACCGGUUCUGAUUUAUAUGAAAAAAUAAAGAACAUUGACAGAUUUCAUUAUUUUUGUUAAAAUAUAUUUAGGUUUAGGCUUUGAAUAAACUAUAGACACAUUGUUAUUAUUUUUAUUUCAAUAAAAUUUAGGAUUUUAUCUCUAAACAAGUUAAUUUUUUUAUUUAAAGUCUUAAUUUAACUAUUAAUAUCAAAAAUAUUUUUGGUCAAAAUUUAUCAACUUGAAAUGUUAAUUUAAAUGUCAUCAUAUGAUGUGAUAAUUUUUGAUAAAAAUAAACGUGAUAAGUUAAUAAAAUUUAACUGAAAUAAAGUGUUAAAUGACCAAACUGCAAAUUUUAAAUUGAAAAUAUAUUGAAUAAAUCUCAAAGUAGAAGUAUUUUGACCUUUGAAUAAAGUUACAUUUAAUUGGAUUGGAACUUAUUUUAAAGUAUAUAAAAUUUAUAAUAUAAAAUCAAUUAAUUCGGCUAUUGAUAUAAAAAUAAACAUUCAACCUACGUAAUGAAUUUUAAUUUAACAGACUAAUCAAAAGCAAAUUAAUAGAAUUAAAUUAAUUAAAUUAUUUUGAUUUUAUCGAUUAAUAUGAUUUUAAUUAAGUUUGUUUAACUUUAAUCCUUUUGUCUUUAAUUGUGAGUAUAGAAUAUUGUAACCGGCGCUACGGACACAACAUUUACAACAAUAGAAUGGGCGAUGACAGAAUUACUACGACACUCAAAUAAAUUGCAAAGAGUAGUUGAGGAAUUGGAUGCAAUAAUCGGUGACCAAAACAUCGUUGAAGAGUUUCAUCUUCCUCGCUUACUCUAUUUAGAAGCUGUGGUGAAAGAGACGUUACGAAUUCACCCACCGGCUCCUUUGCUAAUGCCACACAUGUCGAGUGAGACCACUAUCAUAGGCGGUUACACUAUCCCUAAAAAUUCCAAUAUUUACUUCAACGUGUGGGCAAUACAAAGAGACGCCGAGUUCUGGGAAGACCCACUUCAAUUCGAGCCAGAAAGGUUUUUGAAUGUCAUUGAGAAAAGGAAUUAUAAGGGAAAUAGUUUCGAUUUUUUCCCGUUUGGAUCGGGGAGGAGGAUUUGUGUUGGGAUUUCAAUGGCAGAGAAAAUUAUUAUGCUGAUGUUGGCGACGUUGUUGCAUUGCUUUGAAUGGGAAUUACCAAACGGGCGAAAACCUGAUGUGAAAGAGAAGCUACAUUUGUUAUUGUCAAAGGUAGAGCCGCUUGUUGUCGUGCCUAUUUCACGUUCCUCUAAGUGGCGACAUUGUGGUUAAAACAUGCUUUUUGUCACUAUACUUUUAAUAACUUUAGAAUUUAAUACUUGUUAUUUUAUUUCCAUAAAUUUAUUUCUCUACUUUUUUUUUAUUAGUAUUGUAAUAACCAUUUUCUAUUCGAGUUAUGCUCAUAUCUAGGUUAAUUUGAAUAUCUUUUCAGGUUAAAUUUUAUUCAAAUUUUAUGUUUUGUUUAAAAUUUAUAACUUAAUCUAAUUUUGGACUUUGAUCAUGAAUUUUUCUUAAAAUUCCAAUGUUAUGUGUGUUUUUUUUUAAUAAAAUAAAACUCGAAAUGUGAAAAUACAUCAAACUUAGAAUUUUGAUUUUGAGACUAGUUUAUCAAUUUUAUAUUAAGGAGCUCAUUAUAAAUAAGAUAUUUUGUGUUUAUUUUAUAAAUUCAAUAUUAAUAUGCAUAUGUGGUAUAAUACAAUAUAUUAUAUUAUUAUAAUUAAAAAGAUAUUUUGUGUCUUACUAUGGAAUUAGUUAUAUUGUAACAAAAUUUUAAUUUGAUAUGUUUAAUUUUUUAAAUUUAACUCGAACAAUUUCACUCGAUUCGAUUUGAUUCGACUCGAAUUUUAUUUAACUUGACUCGAUUCAAAAAAAUUUAAAAUCAAAUUAAAAUGAUAAAAUAGGACUCAACUCAAAAAACUUUUACUCAACCCAAUCGAAUGCUCACCCCUACAUGAUCACCGUCAAAAGCAAAAAAUUCAUGUGUAAAGCGUUCCAAGCUUAUUUGAAUGCUUUUAGAAAUUUUUGGUACAAAUAUCGUGGAAGCCCUUGUAUAAAGUGUUAGAUUGUAUUUUGCCCUAUUUACUCAAAAAAUAGGCAGAUUAUUCCUUGUAUAUUAUAUUAAAGAGAAAACUGAUCUUUUUUUGUUAAAAAUUUUAUAUAUUUCUAUUACUAAAAUUGACAUGGCUAACAAAAUAAUCAAACAAUAACACAUGGCUUGCCACAUAUGCCUCAUGUUGACGUACAAAGACAAGUUUUUUACAAUAUAAUUGUUGAAGGUUAAAGUUAACAGCUAGUGAUAAACUACCACGUCAAUUUUUCAUUAGUCAUUUAACGGCUGGUGAUAGAAAAAGAUAAAAAUCAAAUAAUUAAAUAAUUAUUUUAUAACUUUUUAUAGUUGAGUAAUCAAUAAUUAAACUUGAUUAGGAGUAUAAUUUAUGUUUUUUUUUAAAUAGAAGUAUGCGAUGGAGAGAGAUAUAUAUGAACGAUUUUUUAUCCCACUAACUCUCCCAUCUGCCCUGGAGUACUUUAGCCAACCAGCAGAAAUCUCUUUGCAAUAAGCUUUCACCAAUUCAACAAGUUACAAGAUAAAAUAUUUAGCAUAAUUUUUUGUAUUUCUUCAUAAUAAUUGAUAUAUUUUUAUAAUGUUUGAUAUUUCUUCAUAAUUUUCGGUACACUUUAAUAAUUUUUGGUUUUCUCUUAUAAUUUUGGUAUAGUUUUUGAAAUGAAAAUUUAAAAUGAGAUAUAAUUUUAGAGUAAAAAGGUUUUCAACGCGACAUUUAGACCCAAAAAAUUAAUAACUUUUAAAUUAUUAUUUUUCAUGCUAUUAUUUAUAUAUAGUGAUAAUUUUUUAAAAAUUAAAAAAUUUAAUAAGAUCAACCAAUUUUUUAUAGUCACUUAUAAUUUUUGGUACUCUUUAAUGUUUUUUUAUUAUAUUUCUUUGUAUUUUUUGAUAUUCUCUCAUAAGUUUUUGGUGAUUCCUUGGAUACUUAUAUAGUUGCAUUUUUGUCUUGUUGUUUAUUUAAAGAGCGUUUUUCAUUUUUGGAUUGAUUAAAGGUCUAAACUUAGCAUUUUGAUUUUUGUUUCAAUUUUGUUGGUGAGAAAGCAGUCGGAAAAUGAAAGAAAAUACUUUAACAUCACUUUAUUUAUUUAUUUAAUUUUUUAAAAAAGAUGUUAUUUUCACACUAAAAUAAGGUUGUCUAGAUCCAGUCUGCCUCAUGAAUUUUGAAUUGAUCUACUCCGAAUGAAGCGGAUUUUUUUGUUUGAAAAAUAGACAUGGGACGAGUCGGGUGGAUUUUUUUCUUUUGAAUAGUGGAUAUGGAGUGACUAUGGUAAUUUCUUGCCAUUUCUGACAUGCUCCACUAUAUACACUUAUUGUUUUAUCCUUAUAUAUAAACUAUUAAAAAGGUAAAAAUAUAAUAAUGGAAUAUAGAAAAAAUUCAUAUAUUUUAUGUUUAAAUAUAUUUUUAAAGAAUUAUGCUUAAAUAUUUACUUGACUUUAAAAAGAUUAAAAAUAAAAAUAAGUAGCAACAAUUAAAUUAAACAGAGCCGAGUGGGGUGGAGAUGAAUGCAUCCAACAUCCAUGAAUGUGAUAGUAAAUUUUAAAAUUAUACAUUCAUAGUAGAAUGAUAUGAGUGGUAAAACAGAGUGUACUAAUUAUGAAACAAUAAUGAAUUUAAAAAUAUCAGUCUUGCUGCACCCAAUUGCCAUUCUUUCAUCCAUCUUUGUAUUCAAAUUUAGUGAUUGAGAGAGUUAUCACAUAAGUACAUUUUCUCUAAUUUUUUAAUUACAGAAUGCGACUUUUUUUUUUUAAUUAAGAAGCAUCACCUUCAAUAGUUAAUAACUUAUUUAUUAAAAAACAAAAAAAGGAGUAAAAUAUUUAAAAUAAAAAAUAAGAAGAGUUGAAAGUUUGUGUUAUGCUUUGGUUGAAUAUAUAUAUAUAUACAAAAAGGUUAUAAAAUAUAUAAAUUUAGUUUUAUAAAGAUUUCAUUUAGAUUUAUUCAGAUUUUAUUUACUAAAGAAUAGUUUCACGUGUAAUUACAUUCAAAAUUUAUAAUUUGUAAACGAUUCAAUGACGUGUAAAAUAUGUAUAAAAAAUUUAUAAAAUUCCAAUUAUUUAGGAAAGUGGUGAAGUACAUGAUCAUUUAAUAAUUCAAAUAAGUCCUCUGCCUUUUUUUAUUCCAACGAAAGUAAACGAUAAAAUUAUAUUUUUAUUAUUAUAAAAAUAUAUUUUUCAAUUUUAAUUUUUUUCAAAAGAGAUUUUAUUUCGUAUUUACCCCUAAAUCGUAUUUCUAGAUUCGUAACAGCAUAUGAAUAUUAUUGAGUUUAUCAUGUACCAAAGACUUGUAUUUAAUAUAAUAAUUUUUUUUAUUUUUUUAUUUUUUUGUAAAUUAAAAUAUCAAGGCCAAGUUCAAACAAUAAAUAUAAUUAACGCGACUCGAACUAAAAACGUACUUAAGACAAGCGAUAAAUACUUUUAACUAUCAAACUAUAACAUAGAGUUCAAUUUUAUUUAUUUUCAAUUGAAGAAUAAUUCAUAAAUUAUUGUGUAUAAUUAUAAUCAAAAUUUCCAUUUCUGGAAAGUUGACAUUAAUUGUUUAAUCACAUUUACAAUAUUUUAUUGCCACGAAUGAGGUAUUGCCAUAACCUUCAAUAGCCGCACCCUCAUAUUGCUGUAACCUCCUCUUGCUAUAUAUAUAUAUGAUUAUAAUUAAGUCCUUCGGCGAGUGGUGAAGUCCAUAAUUUUUUAAUAAUUCAAAUAAGUCCUCCAUUUCAUCUGCCUUUUUUCUAUUCCAACCCGAGUACCCACCAAUGUCGAACUUCUACAACAAGGUUACUGGCGAAGGUUGGUCGCGCCGCCAAGACGGAGUGGCUGCGUUCACCAUCACUGAAGUGGCAGCCACUCUCACGGUGGCGACGCUAGUAAUUAUCUUUUUUUCAUGGUUGGUUAAGAAACUCAUCAUCAAAACCAAGCCGUCGCCGCCGCCGCCACCAGGCCCGAUAGGCUUGCCGAUACUCGGCCACCUCCUUUUCAUCAAACCCGAUUUCCUCCAUUAUGUAACCAAGCAAUCCCAAAUCCACGGCCCUAUCAUCAAACUUCAGCUGGGAAGAAAAGUUUACAUCAUCAUAAGCUCACCAUCAAUCGCAAAACAAAUCCUCAAAGACCACGACGCCAUCUUCGCCAACCGCGACAUUCCGAUGGCGGCCAUAAAAGGAACCUUUGGCGGACUCGACAUUGUGUGGAGAUCCAAUGGCCCAGAAUUACACAAGCUACGAAAGCUCGUCGUAAGUGAAAUCAUGAGCAACAAAGGCCUCAAUGCUUGCUACGAGUUUCGCCGACGAGAGAUCCGACAUAUGGUGAAGAAUAUUCAUGGAAAAAUCGGGUCACCCAUUAACCUCAGUGAACAAAUUUUCUUAACAACGUUCAACGUUACGGUUAACAUGCUAUGGGGUGGUUCGUUGAAUGGAAAAGAAUCCAACCUUGGGCUUGAAUUUAAGGAUCGAUUCGAGGAAUUUUUGAGAUUGAUGGUAGAACCCAAUGUUUCUGAUAUGUUCCCGGUGCUUAGGCCAUUUGAUUUACAAGGAAUUGAAUCCAAAGCCAAGAAAAACAUUUCGUGGUUUUAUGAGUUUUUCGAAUCGGUGAUAGAGCAGCGAAGGAAGCUCGGAGAGGGACCAAAAAUGGCUGAUAGUAAGGAUUUUUUGCAGCAAUUGUUGGAGCUGAACCAAACAGGAGAUGUCAAAACUUCAUUAUCCAUGAAGGAAAUAAACGCUAUGCUGCUGGUAAGCAUACAGACUAAUUCUAAAAAUAUAACUACAUUACUAAAUUUCAAAAUUUACAAAAACUAACCUAUUUUAACUUAGGUAGAGAUUCGGGUAUAUUGGUGUAAAACAAAUUUAAUUGGUUUUAUAUUCUUUCUUAAUUUUUCAAAUGAAUAAUAUUUUAAUAAAUUAACUGUUAUAUUUCAUAAAUUAUCCAGGUAGAUUAUGCAUGUUAAGUUUGUUAUAAAUUAAAAAAGUUUAACUAUUCAUUUUUUUUAAAAAAAUUAAAUGUUUAUUCGUUAUAAUAUUAAUCGUACAAAAAUAUACAGAAAUAUAUAAAUUACUCAAAUUUCACAUCGAAGUAAAUUCAUCCUUUCCUUUAUAUAUGGAAUUGGUCGGUUUAGUUGUAAACAAUAUGAUUUUGGAGAUUUCUGAUAUGUUUUAUAGGGUCUGUAAUUGGUUGAUUUAAUUAGUUCAGCUUAAAAAAAUUAAUUGAUUUUUCUAAAAUAAAAAUUAGUAACCGAGCUAAUUUAACGAUGAAAACACAAUAAUCAAACCGAUUGUGAUUUAAUUAAAAAAUAAGGAAUAUUGAUGGAUUUCAUUAUUUUUGUUAAAAUAUAUUUAGGUUUAGGUUUUGAAUAACCUUAAAACACAUUGUUAGUGUUUUUAUUUCGAUAAAAUUUAAGAUUUUGUCUCUAAAGAAGUUAAAUUUUUUAUUCAAAAUCUUAAUUCAACGGUUAAUGUGAGAAAUAUUUUUUGUCAAAAUUUAUCAACUUAAAAUGUUAAUUCGAGUGUUUUCAUAUAAUUUGAUAAUAAUUGAUAAAAAUUAAGUUAAUAAAAUUUAACUGAAUUAUUAAAGGUGUUAAUGACUAAACUACAAUUUUUAAAUUGAAAAUAUAAUGAAUAAAUCUCAAAAGAAGUAUUUUGACCUUUGAAUAAUUGGUACAUUUAAUUGAUUGUAACUUAUUUUAAAGUAUAUAAAAUUAAUUAAUUCAGCUAUUGAUAUACAUUCAACCUAUAUAAUGUAUUUUAAUUUAACACUCUAAUCAUAAUUAAAUUAAUUAAAUUAUCUCGAUUAGAUCGAUUAAUUUGAUUUUAAUUAAAAUUUGCUCAACUUUAAUCCUUUGUCUCUAAUUGUGGGUAUAGAAUAUUAUAAGCGGCGCUACGGACACAACAUUUACAACAAUGGAGUGGGCAAUGACGGAAUUACUACGACACCCAGAUAAAUUGCGAAGAGUCGUCGACGAAUUGGAUGCAACAAUCAGUGGCCCAAACAUCGUUGAAGAGUUCCAUCUUCCUCGCCUACUCUAUUUAGAAGCUGUGGUGAAAGAGACAUUACGAAUUCACCCACCAGCUCCUUUGCUAAUGCCACACAUGUCGAGUGAGACCACCGUCGUAGCCGGUUACACUAUCCCAAAAAAUUCCAAUAUUUUCUUUAACGUGUGGGCAAUACAAAGGGACGCCGAUUUUUGGGAAGACCCUCUUCAAUUCGAGCCAGAAAGGUUCUUGAAUGUCAUUGAGAAAAGGAAUUAUAAGGGCAAUAGUUUCGAUUUUUUCCCGUUUGGAUCGGGGAGGAGGAUUUGUGUUGGGAUUUCAAUGGCAGAGAAAAUUAUGAUGCUGGUGUUGGCGACGUUGUUGCAUUGUUUUGAAUGGGAAUUGCCGAAUGGGCGAAAACCUGAUGUGAAAGAGCAACUACGAUUGGUGUUGUCGAAGGUGGAGCCGCUUGUUGUUGUGCCCAUUGCGCGUUCAUCUAAUUCAAUGCAAUAUCUAUAAUACCCCUAACCGUAUCCGUCACUGGAACAGAGUUUCGGAGCGUUACCUAAGUUUAUAGAUUAAUUUCGAAAAAAUCAUGCAAAAGUACUAUUCACAUUCAGAAAUAAUCAUAUUGUCCCUUAAUUGGACUAUCGAAGCCCAAUAUGAACAGUAAAAUCAAAUCAGGACUAAUUCGGAAGCUUUAAGAACUUUUCGUAAAAUUAUAAAAUUUUUCUUAUGAGCAGUGCCCACACGCCCGUAUGGUUUAGGGGCACGCCCGUGUGGCUUUACACGCCCGUGUCACUCACCCGUAUAACUCUCUGACUUAUAAGACAUGAAGAAAUCUACGUCACACGGCCAAGUUACACGCCGGUAUGCUAGGCCGUGUGGUUAAUUUAAUUUUCAUAAUUUAGGUGCAGUUUUCACACGGCCAUGUAACCCGCCCGUGUCAACGUCAUGUCACCCACAUGGCUGAGACACACGCCCGUGUCUCUGCCCUUAUGCUCAAUUUUGAGCAUUCUAUUUCUCAUUUUUAAGGUGCAGGGGACACACGGCCAAAACACAUUCCCAUAUGCCAGGCCGUGUGUCUACCUUUGUGGACGAAGAUAGGCUAUUUUAAGGCCACUUUUCUCACCCUUUACACAUUCAACCUGCAUACAAUACUUUCAUAUACCAAUAUACUCCAAUUCAACAACCAAUUCAAAUCAAUAACUCAUAUGGUAAGCCAAAUUUAUAAUUACACUACUUAUUUAUGUAAACUUACUGUUUUAUUUCUUUCAUCAACCACCUUGAUAUACUAGUAAAUACAAACACAUAAACUAACAUAUAUAUAUGAAAGUCAUUCAUAACCAUAUUUCAAGUUUACUUUCUUUCCAAUCCAUCCUAUACAUGCCAUAUAAACCUCAAGUUAUAAUACAAAAUCUACCGGUGAAAUCUGGAUAGCGUGACUCGUUGUGAUGAUCCAAUUCUCCAAACUCUUGUUAAUCUACAAAGAACAUUUAAUACACAAAAGUAAGCUUAUGAAAGCUUAGUAAGUUCAUAGGUUUUAGAUAAAACCUUACUGAACAUAAUAUUAUAAAAUCAUAAAAUAUGCAAUUCACUACCACUUUUUGCCAUUCACAAUUUCAAAUGAUGAAUUCACUUGAUUGAGCUCAAUAUCAAUGACUAGCUAAAUUCCAACACUUAAAUUCAAGAAACACUUACCGUUACCUGUCAAAUUAGGGAACGUCUUACAGAAUUGAGUACAUCAUUAGCUUGAUGCCACAUUCCACUUUGGUUUUGCACACAUUUUUAUCAUGGCUUUGCCAUUAUCACAUACUUUAUCACAUUGCCAUAGCUUAACUAUGGUCUUGCACUUGCACAUAUUUUAUCAUGGCCUUGCCAUGAUCACAUGAUUUAUCACAUUGCCAUAGCUUAGCUAUGGUCUUACACUGGCAAAAAAAUGUAACUGCUAUGUUUCAAUCAUGGUUUUACGUUCACUUUCACAUUGUCAUAGCUCCGCUAUGGUCACACAUGUCACACUUUUCCAUGAUUUAACCAUGAUCUUAUCCGUCAAUUCAUCACUGGUCACUAAUUAAACAUACUCAAUCCUGCAUUUCCCUUAAUUUGAACUGUAGCUUCGAAUUUUGUUUUAUCACAAUAAUCAUAAUUUCAUAACAAAAAUAUAAAAUAAUACAUUAUAUAAUCUCUAAUUUAACAAUCAAUUAUAAAAUUUAACCAUAUAAACUUACCUGGGCUAAUUUAUGAAAGUUGUAGAAAUUCAAGGAUUAAUCGAAAAUUUUCUCUUUUCCUCGCUUAUCUUCGGAUUCUCGAUAUGGUGCAAAAAUAUGAAAAACCAGCUUGUUUCAGACCUCCUCUGGCGUUUUGGCUGAUGAAUUAUGAAGAGAUCUCUAGAUUUUUCAAUUUAGUCACUUGUUUUAUAUUUAAUUUUAACCAAAUUACCAUUUUGUCCUUAGUUCACAUUGUUUUCUUGUCCAUUUCUAUACCCAUACCGUCCAGCCCAAAUGAUUUGGGUCUAAUUGCCUUUUAAAUCCUUCCUCAUUAGACACUUAAGCUAUUCAAUCACUUUUGCAAGUUUUGCAUCUUUUACAAUUUAGUCUUUUUUGAUUUUUCAACUAUCAAAACGUUAAAAUUUUCUGACGAAACUUUAAUAUUAACUCAAUAACACUCCAUAAAUAUUUCUAAAAUAUUUAUGGCUCGGUUUAUGAAUUCGAGGUCUCAAUACCUCGUUUUUGACCCAAUUUAUCUAAUAAGUUCUUCUAAUUCUCCAACUUCACUAAUUCAAAGCUUCUUCUAUUGUCAUACUUGUCUCACAUAUAUUAUUUUUAUUAAAUCUUUGAACUCACUUGUCGGAUUUAGUGAUAUCGAAUCACUGUUUUCGACACCACUGAAAAUUAGAUUGUUACAAUAUCAAUAAAUUUGUGGUUAAAAUAUGCUUUAAGUCAUUAUACUUUUCAUAAAUUUUAAAUUUAAUCAUUGUACUUUUAUUUAUAGAAAUUUAAUCCAUCUACCUUUUUUUUUUAGUAUUCACGCUCAGAUUUUGGUUAAUUCGAAUAUUUUUUUGGAUUCAAUUUAACUCAAAUUUCGAGUUUUAUUUAAAAUUUGAAAUUUAGAAUUUAAUCAAAAUUUAAACUUUGUCAUGAAUCUCAAUUUGUAUUUAUUUUUUGAAAUGAAACCCGAAAUGUGGAAUUACAUAAAACUUGAAAUUGAAGCUCGAGACUAGUGAAUCAAUGUUAUAUUAAGGUAUAAAUAAGAUAUUUUGUGUUUAUAUUAUAAUUUCAUUAUUAAUAUGCAUAUGUUGUAAUAAUAUAAUAUUAAAAGGAAAAGAGAUAAAGCAUGGUGAGUGGGGCGACAUUCACCAUACCAUGCAUCAAAUAGAUGCUGAUUUGAAUAUAUAUAUAUAAAGAGAAGAGAUAAUCACUCGGUUAAUAUGAAUAUUAAUCAUCUUAUUAUCCACUAAAUACUUAUAUUUAAUACAAUAAUUAAGUUUAGUUUUAUUUAUCUGUGUAGUUACAGUCCAAAUUUCUAUCUCUAGAAAGUCCAACAUUUCUGGAAGGUUGAUGAUAAUUGUUUAUCACAUUUAGAACAUUUAUGGCGACAGAUGAGGAAAUGCUAUUACCUCCAAUACCCGCUAACCUCAUAUUGCUGUAAUCUCAGUAUUAUUAUAUAUGACUAUAAAUAAGUCUUCCAAUUCUCAGGGAAGUGGUGAAUUACAUAAUUUUUUAAUAAUUCAAAUAAGUACUCCAUUCCCUCCGCCUUUUUUCUAUUCCAACCAGACUACCCACCCAUGUCGAACUUCUACGAUAAGGUUGCUGGCAAAGGUUGGUUGCGCCGCCACGACGGACUGGCUGCGUUCACCAUCACCGAAGUGGUAGCCACUCUCACGGUGGCGACGCUAGUAAUUAUCUAUUUCUCACGGUUGGUUAAGAAACUCAUCAUCAAAACCAAGCCUUCGCCGCUGCCACCAGGCCCGAUAGGCCUGCCGAUACUCGGCCACCGCCUUUUCAUCAAACCCAAUUUCCUCCAAUACGUAACCGAGCAAUCCAAAAUCCACGGCCCUAUCAUCAAGCUUCAGCUGGGAAGAAAAGUUUACAUCAUCAUAAGCUCACCAUCAAUCGCAAAACAAAUCCUCAAAGACCACGACGCCAUCUUCGCCAACCGCGACAUUCCGGUGGCGGCCAUAAAAGGAACCUUUGGCGGCUCGAUAUUGUGUGGAGAUCCAAUGGCCCAGAAUUACACAAGCUACGAAAGCUCGUCGUAAGUGAAAUCAUGAGCAACAAAGGCCUCAAUGCUUGCUACGAGUUUCGCCGACGAGAGAUCCGACAUGUGGUGAAGAAUAUUCAUGGAAAAAUCGGGUCACUCAUUAACCUCAGUGAACAAAUAUUCUUAACAACGUUCAACAUUACGGUUAACAUGCUAUGGGGUGGUUCGUUGAAUGGAGAAGAAUCCAACCUUUUGCUUGAAUUUAAGGAUCGAUUCGAGGAAUUUCCGAGAUUGAUGGCAGAACUCAAUGUUUCUGAUAUGUUCCCGGUGCUUAGGCCAUUUGAUUUACAAGGAAUUGAAUCCAAAGCCAAGAAAAACAUUUCGUGGUUUUAUGAGUUUUUCGAAUCGGUGAUAGAGCAGCGAAGGAAGCUCGGAGAGGGACCAAAAAUGGCUGAUAGUAAGGAUUUUUUGCAGCAAUUGUUGGAGCUGAACCAAAUAGGAGAUGUCAAAACUUCAAUAUCCAUGAAGGAAAUAAAGGCUAUUCUACUGGUAAGCAUACACACUAAAUUUUGAAAUCCCGAAUUCUAAAAAUAAAACUGCAUUACUAAACUUCAAAAAUUUACAAAAUCUAUAUUACAUAUUUUAAUCUGGGUACACCCGAAUAAAAUUUAAAUAAUUUUAUACUUUUUCGUAACAUUUUAUAUAAUUAAUGUUUUAAUAAUUCAACCAUCAUAAUUCAUACUCUAUUUACCUAAAUAAUGCAAAUCAAAUUUGACAUAAAUUAAAAAUUUUUAACUAUUCAUUUUAUGUAAAAGAAAAUUCAAUUGUUCAUUCAUUAAAUAUUAAUCGCACAAAAAUAUAUAAAAAUGUAUAAAUUACUCCAAUUUCACAUCAACUUAAGUUGAUUCAUUCCCAUACAUAUAUGCAUAUAUAUAUAUAUAUAUAUAUAGACAUAGUUUUAAAAAAAGUACAUAGCAAUCCCUGAAAUUGGUCGGUUUAGUUAUAAACAAUAUGAUUUUAGAGAUAAAAUUUAGGAUUUUGUAAGUUAAUUUUUUAUUCAAAAUAUUAAUUCAACUGUUAAUAUUAAAAAUAUUUUCCGUCAAAAUUUAUCAACAUAUGAAAUGUUAAUUUGAGUGUUGUCAUAUGUGGUGAUAAUAAUUGAUAAAAAAAAUAUACUAACUUAAUAAAAUUUAACUGAAAUAUUAAUAAAGAUGUUAAUGACUGAAUUAUAAUUUUUAAAUUAAAAAUAUAAUGUAUAAAUCUCUAGAGGUAUCUUAACCUUUGAAUAAAGGGUACAUUUAAUUGGAUUGGAACUUAUUUUAAAGUAUAUAAAAUCACUUAAUUUGGCUAUUGAUAUAAAAAUAAACAUCUAACCUACCUAAUGUAUUUUAAUUUUACACUCUAAUCAAAAUUGAAUUAAUAGAAUUAAAUUAAUUAAAUUAUUUCAAUUCGAUAAAUUAAUUCAAUUUUAAUUAAAUUUUGCUUAACUUUAAUCUUUUGUCUCUAAUUGUGAGUAUAGAGUAUUGUAACUGGCACUACGGACACGACAUUUACAACAAUAGAGUGGGCGAUGACAGAAUUACUACGACACCCAGAUAAAUUGCGAAGAGUCGUUGAGGAAUUAGAUGCAAUAAUCGGUGACCAAAACAUUGUUGAAGAGUUCCAUCUUCCUCGCCUACUCUAUUUAGAAGCUGUGGUGAAAGAGACGUUACGAAUUCACCCACCGACUCCUUUGCUAAUGCCACACAUGCCGAGCGAGACCAUCGUCGUAGCCGGUUACACUAUCCCCAAAAAUUCCAAUAUUUUCUUCAACGUGUGGGCAAUACAAAGGGACACCCAGUUCUAGGAAGACCCUCUUCAAUUCGAGCCGGAAAGGUUCUUGAAUGUCAUUGAGAAAAGGAAUUAUAAGGGAAAUAGUUUCGAUUUUUUCCCGUUUGGAUCGGGGAGGAGGAUUUGUGUUGGGAUUUCAAUAGCAGAGAAAAUUGUGAUGCUGGUGUUGGCGACAUUGUUGCAUUGUUUCGAAUGGGAACUGCCGAAUGGGCAAAAACCUGAUGUGAAAGAGAAACUACUAUUGGUGUUGUCGAAAGCUGAGCCACUUAUUGUUGUGCCCGUUGCGCGCUCAUCUAAUUCAAUGCAAUAUCAAUAAAUUUGUGGUUAAAAUAUGCUUUAAGUCACUAUACUUUUCAUAAAUUUAAAAUUUAAUCCUUAUAUUUUUAAUCACAAAAAUUUAAUUCCUCUACUUUUUUAUUAGUAUUAUAAUAACCAUAUGUCUAUACAUGAUUAUUUAUAUAAAUAUAUAUAUCUUGAAACUAUAUUGUGCACUCUUAUGUUGGGAUGAAAAUAUGUAUUUUUAAUCUAUAUAUUUGCAUGUUAAUAUAUUUUGCGGGUCAUAGAAUAUGCAUAUAUUUAAAUAUAUGUGUCAUGUACAUGUGUUUUGAUAUGAUGUUAUAUGUAUGGCCAUUUGCCAAUGGAUAUAUUUGUUUGUGUUAGGGUGCUUAGAAAUUAUUUGUUAUGCUUUGGUAGAAUUGUAAUUUUCUUUUAUUUCAUUAUUCGUUGCAUUAAAAUUAAAGUGAUUUUACAUAUUUUUAUAAUUUUUUUAUAUUAUUAAUAUUUUAAUAAUUUAACCAUCAUAUUUCAUGUUCUAUUCAUGUAGAUCAUAUAUAUCAAAUUUGGUAUAAAUUAAUAAUUUCUAGCUAUUUAUUUUAUGUAAAAAAAAACUUUUAACUCAUAUCAAACAAAAACGGACAAAUUAUUCCUUACAUGUUAAAUUAAAUAUCAAACAAAAAUGGAUGUGAAAGAGGUGAGCGUUCAAUUUCGAGUUAGUCGAGUUAAUGAGUCCUAUUUUAUCAUCCUAAUUUGAUUUAAAUUUUUUUUUCAAAUCGAGUUGAGUGAAAUGAAAUUCUGAGUGAAAUUGAAUUGAGUGAAAUUGUUCAAAUUAAAUUUUAAAAAACUAAACUUGUCGAAUUGGUAAUUUACUUGUUUAAGCCUUCAAAAUUAUUAUUUUGUAUUCUUUUAAAUAUUUUUUUAUAUUUUCUUUAGAUUUUUUUAUAUUUUCUAUUUUUGUAAUGGCCUAAAUUCAAGGUUAUCGGAACAAUGGUUUCGUAACCAUAGAUCCGAUUUAAAGAGAAAUUUAUUUCAAUAUUUUUUCUUGAAAAUUGAUAUGAUAGGAAAAUCGUAUGAAAAUAUUGAUAGAAAAAAUUUACCGAUUUAGUGGUUAGUUAGAAAAAGAAAUUAUUGAAGAAAUUGGGUAAAAACAAGAUAUCGGGACCUCUAUCUUAUAAAACCAGUCGAAAAUAAUUUUAUAAAUAUUUAUGAAAUGUUAUUAGUGUGGUAUUAAAAUAUCGUUAGGAAAUUUUAAUGUUUGGGUAGUCAAUUAAAUGAAAAGAACUAAAUUGUAAUAGGUGUAAAAGUUGCUAGAAUGAUUAAAUAGCUUAAGAGUCUAAUGAGAAAGGAUUUAAAAGGCAAUUAGACCCAAAAGUUAUUUGGACUGGACGGCAAAGGUAUGAAAUCAGCAGAAAAAUUGAUAAAUUAAGGGUAAAAUUGGAAUAUUGCAAAAUUAACUAAAUAAAGCUAGGGCUAAAUAGGAAAUAUCUAGAUUUCUCUUCAUUUCUCUUCAAUUCCAGCAGCUAAAAACGCCAUAGGAGGGUUCUCUAAGCUGGUAUUUCAUAUUUUUUGCACCAAAUCCAGAAGAUUCAAAUACGAAGCUAGAUCGAGGAAAGGAAAAAGUUCGGGAUUAGUAGAUUUUUUUUGUUUACAAACAAGUAUCAAUGUAAGUUCGUGUAACUUGAAUUAUAUUAUUAAAUGCUUGAGAUUGUAUGUUAUUGAUGUGAAUAUGAUUUGAAUGUUCAUUGUAUGAAAAUUUAUGAAACAUUGAUAUAUUUGAUAAAAUGGGAAGAAAUCCCGGUUGAAUGAAAGGAAAAUUCGAUGGAUCUCUGAAAAGGAAUUGACGGUAAAAAGGAUCUAGCCCGGACGGGUGAUCCUAUCCUGAUAUAGCCCUCCCGAAGAAUAUGUGUAAAAUGGAUUUAGCCCGGACGGGUAAUCCGAAUUAGGAUUUGAAUUUAGCCUGGACUGGUAAUUCAGAUCCAAGCUCAUUAGAGUAAUUGUCGUUGCAGGGGAUUUAGCCUGGACUGGUAAUCCCGCUGCAAGGUUGAGGUUCGCGGGAGUGUGCUCUCUGAAAUGGAAAUGUGCGCACGUGAAUAUGAAUUGACGGACCCGGAAUUGUACACUAAAAGUGUACCUCUGAAAAUCCAUCGAAAUUCCAAGAAAUUCAACGAGAUAAAUAUGGAAAAAUAACAAGGAAAUGGAAAUCAUGGUAUUGACGAGCUCAUCAAUCAUGGUAUAUAUUAUUGAUACAUGGAAAUUAUUGUACUAACUUGAAUGUUGAGUUUGUGCAUGUUAGGGUAAUAAUGCAUUGAAUGGAUAUAUGAAUGUUUAUUAUAUUGUAUUGAAAAUAUUAGGUAAGUAUAAUUCUUGUUACAUGAGCUUACUAAGCACAAAGUGCUUACCCCGUUUCCUUUUUGCCUAUUUUGUAGUGUUAAGAGCUCGGAGGUCGGAUUUGGUCGGAAACACAUCACACUAUCAACCUCAGGACUUCGGUAUAUAAAGAAACUUUAUUUUGGAAAUCAAUGGCAUGUAUAAGCUAAUAAAGUAAAUGUUAACGUGAAAUGAAUGUAAAGUUAGCCAUUAGUAUGGUUACCAAACCUGGUUUUAGAUAUGUGAUGACGUUAUCUUAUAAAUACGCAUGAAUUUAUCUUGAAAAUAUGUUGAAUUGAUUUGGUUGAUGUGGAUUGGUCUCGAUUUAAUAUUACAGGGAAGGUUAGAUAUUUAUUAAAGGGGCUAUAUUGAAUAUAAAAAAAAUUAAUUCAUAAACUCCGAUAAUGCCUCGUACCCUAUUCUGGCAAUGAAUACGGGUAGGGGUAUUACAAUUUUCAUAAAUUUUUUAAAUAAAAAAUUAUGAAUUUUUUGAAUUUUUUUUAAAUUAUUUUGAUUUUUUUUGUUGGAUGAGAGUAAUUUACUCAUUUUCGAAAUUGAUAGGGGCGAAAUGUAUUUACAUCAAUAUGUUAUUCAAGUCAUUUCAAUUGUGAAAUUCAACUCGACUUAAACUUGAAAAACCAAAUCACUUAUUUGAGUUAGACUCAAAAAACCGAAUAACUCAAAUAACUCAAUUCGAUUAACUCGAAAUUCAAAUUUUUUUUCAAUUCUUUCAAAUAAAAUCGAGUUUUACUCACAGUUAGCUAUCAAGUUUGACAUUAGGAUCUCUCACCAUUUUUAUAUUUUCUAAUUUAUAGAUGGAUGAUUGUGUAAACUAAUUACAAACAUCAUUCCUUUUAAUUCAUUCCUUUUUAUAAUUCAUAUAAAUCCUUAAAAAUUCAUAUUCUAUUAAACAAAAAUAAGUACAUAUGUAAUUACUUAUCGCUUAAUGAAAAAUUAUUUUUUAUUUUUAUUUUUUAAAAAAUCAAAUUUUUAUUUUUAUUUUUAUCUAAAAUAUCUGAAAUAAUAAUAAGAUUAAAAUUAUUUUCAUCAAAAACCUAAAACCAUGAAAUAAUUUUUAAAAAUCAUAAUUUAUUAUAUUAUCAAAGAACGUAUCGUAUUUGAUAUGUAAGAUUAAUAAAUAUAUCGAUAAAAGUAUUAUAGAGGCUUCUAUAUUAGAAAUCAAAUUAUAUUUUAUUUUCUCUACUAAUAAAAUAGUCAAGUUAGUCUAUAUAUGUUAGAUUAAAGAGCAAAUUGAUCAUUUGUAUUAAAAUUUUCAUUCAUUUAUACUAUUAAAAACUAACGUGACCGAUGAAAACAACGAGGGUGACAUAUGGAUUAAAAGUUUUGAAUUAUCUUUGAAUAUUUAAUUUGAAAAAGAAAUACUAAAUAAGAUAUUUUGAUUGGAUUAAUAGUAGUCCUUAGAUUAAAGUUUCAAUAAUCAUGUAACAUCCAUGACAUCCCUUGAGAAGUGAACAGUGUUAAUUAGGGUUGGCACGUGCUUGAAAUUUUCAGAGUAGAUAAAAAGUAUAAUUAUUAAUAUUAGUAGGGAAGGUGAUUGGAAAUUAUAAGAAAUUAGAAGGACUUCUGAAUUUAGGAAAAUUAAUUUAAGAAAUGGAUUAAAUUGUAGAAGUGUGAGAAGUGUUGGGUCAUGGUGUAAAAAUAAAGAAAAAAAGCAAGAACUUGGAGUAGAAUUUAACCAUGAAAUAACAGAAAGGUGUGGAUGAUAUUGAAGACGAAUGACAUCACGCAUGUGGCAUGAUGAUGAGAUUUUUCUUGAAUAAAAUAUAUAUAAAAAAUGUGAAAGAUAUUUUGAUAGAAGGUUGUAGAAAAAAAGGACAAAGGACCAAAAACAUAAUCCCAUCUUUUCUACGCACCAUUGACGUCUCAGUCUCCCCAAUUUCUCAAGUUUCAUUUUUCUUCCAUUUUAGUCCAUUUCACCAUUUUAAGCCCUUUUCAAGUUUUAAACUCCAAAUUUCUUCAUAGGUUGUUAGUAAGAUCAAGAGAACAACUCAAAGCAAGCAUAUUAUCUUGCAAGGCUAGCUAAAAUUUAUUUUGGAGUGAAAACGAAAGGUGAAGAAAAGUUUGGGAUUUUAGAAAAGUUAAGCUUGAAGAUGGAUGUUGGAAGUGGAAGAAAUUAAGGUAAGUUGUUUAAACUUAUUAUUUAUGUUUUUUUGAUUGUAUAAUUUAAUAUGAAAUUGUAAGAAUUAAGUGUAUAUAAAUAUUUUCUAUGUUUAAAGUGAUGAAAGUAUUAUGUUUAUGUAUGAAGUGAAUGGUAAGUGUGAGUGGUUUAAUUAUGAAAACUUUUAGUUUAAAAUUUUAUUAGUUUGAAUGAUUAAUUGUGUAUUUAUGAUGUUGAAAGUGAUAAAUAUUGAUUUUGAAUUUUUUUGGAGGAGUAAAUUGAAAAAAAAAUUGUUAAGUGAUUAAUUUGAUAAAAAUUGAAGUAAGGAUUAAAUUGUAAAUUUGGAAAAAAAAAAUUUGGGGUCAAGGAUUUAAACAGAGAGAUUAAAUUUGGGAUUCUUAUAAUAAGACUAUAAGAAUAUGAUAUUUAAAGUAUUGAAAAUUUGUACUUAAAUUAGCAUAUUUUUAAUUAAAAGGACUAAAUUGAGAAAUUUUUAAAAGUUCAAAAUUUUAAGUGUUGAAAUGUGAAACUCUGGAAUUUUAAUAUCUUUAUUGUUAAGUAUGGUUUUCGAAAUAACAAAAAACCAUUAUGUGAUAAGAAUUGAUGAUAUAGGGACUAAAUUGUAAAUAUUUUAAAUUUUAUAAAUUUAAAAAAAAAAGGGACUGACUUUAAAAUCUGGGAAUUCUUUGUUGUUUUUGGAAGAAACAGAUUCUGUUUUCAGGGACUAAAAUCAUAAAACAGUAAAAUUUGAACUUCAUAGACUAAAUUGUAAAAUUUGAAAAUUUGAAAAUUUCUGAACUGUUCUGUAAAAUCUGCAAUAUUGAAAAAUGGGGGCUGUUUAGUAAAUGCUGGAAAAGCAUAAGAGUGAAAAUGAGCAAAUUAAUUAUACAAGUAUUUAAAUGGAAUUUUUGAGAAUUUAUUGAAUUAACUGUAAUAAACAAAAUAAUAAUAAUUAAGUAAAAAUAAAAUAAAGGAAAUUUGAAUUUGUAAAAUUAGUUGUAUUAAAGUGAAGAGAAUCAUAUUAUGAAGUAUAUGUUAAAAGAGAAAUAUGGUUUAGAGUAGAUUAAAUUAACAAAAGAAAAAAAUUAAAGUAUAAUUAAUAUCGGUACAUUUUAAGAAAGGAUUAAAUUGAAAAGAAAUUAAAUUAUGACGCAAAAGGCAAGGGUGUUUUUCGUAACUGUCAAUAGAUCAGGUAAGGGUGUUGGGGUGUUACAUACUCAAUAUUUAUGUAAUUUAUAGGAGAAUAUUUUUUUCCAUUAGUAUAAAAUGAUAAAAAAAAAAAGUCCUCCAAUUUUUAUGGGAGUGCUGAAGUUCCAUAAUUCUUUUAAUAAAUUCAGAUCUGUGAUUUGGGAGAGUUGUUGCCACAUGACUACAUUUCCACUGCUCUUUUUUUUUUUUUUUCUAUUCAAACCAGAGUACCCAUCGAUGUCGAACUUCUACGAUAAGGUUGCAGUCCUUGCCGGCGACAGCUGGUUGCGUCUCCACGAUGGACUCGCUGCAUUCACUAUCACCGAAGUUGCAGCCACUCUCACUUUGGCGACGCUACUAAUUAUCUAUUUCUCACGGUUGGUUAAGAAACACAUCAUCAAAACUAAGCUGUCGCCGCCAGGCCCGGUAGGCUUGCCGAUACUCGGCCACCUCCUUUUCAUCAAACCCGAUUUCCUCCAAUACGUAACCAAGCAAUCCCAAAUCCAUGGUCGUAUCAUCAAGCUUCAUCUGGGAAGAAAAGUUUACAUCAUCAUAAGCUCACCAUCAAUCGCAAAACAAAUCCUCAAAGACCACGACGCCAUUUACGCCAACCGCGACAUUCCGAUGGCGGCCAUAAAAGGAACCUUUGGCGGUCUUGACAUUUGUGGAGACCCAACGGCCCAGAAUUGCAGAAGCUACGUAAGCUCGUCGUACGUGAAAUCAUGAGCAACAAUGGCCUCGAUGCCUGCUACGAAUUUCGCCGACGAGAGAUCCGACAAAUGGUGAAGAAUAUCCAUGGGAAAAUCGGGUCAACCAUUAACCUCAGCGAACGAAUAUUCUUAACAAUGCUGAGCGUUACGAUGAGCAUGCUAUGGGGUGGUUCGUUGAAUGGAGAAGUAGCAAAGCUUGGGCUUGAAAUUAAGGAUCGACUAGAGGAAUUUAUGAAAUUGAUGGGAGAACCCAAUCUUUCUGACAUUUUCCCGAUGCUUAGUCCAUUCAAUUUACAAGGAAUUGAAUCCAAAGCCAAGAAGCAUGUGUCGUGGUUUUAUGGGUUUCUCGAAUCAGUGAUAAAGCAGCGAAUGAAGCUCGGAGAGGGACCAAAAAUGGCGGACAGUAAGGAUUUUCUGCAGCAAUUGUUGGAGCUGAACCAAAGAGGAGAUGCCAAAACUUCAUUAUCCAUGAUGG